This 385-nucleotide ribosomal RNA is filed under the name uncultured bacterium. Its description in RNAcentral is "bacterial SSU rRNA". It matches the Rfam family "Bacterial small subunit ribosomal RNA", at positions 124 to 507 of the family's 1533-position model. The record is from RNAcentral.
AUCUACUUAUACGAGGGGGAUAGCCCAGAGUAAAUUUGGAUUAAUACCCCAUAGUAUAAUUGAAUGGCAUCAUUUAAUUAUUAAAGUUCCAACGGUAUAAGAUGAGCAUGCGUCCCAUUAGCUAGUUGGUGUGGUAACGGCACACCAAGGCGACGAUGGUAGGGGUCCUGAGAGGGAGAUCCCCCACACUGGUACUGAGACACGGACCAGACUCCUACGGGAGGCAGCAGUGAGGAAUAUUGGUCAAUGGGCGCAAGCCUGAACCAGCCAUGCCGCGUGCAGGAUGACGGUCCUAUGGAUUGUAAACUGCUUUUGUACAGGAAGAAACACUCCCUCGUGAGGGAGCUUGACGGUACUGUAAGAAUAAGGAUCGGCUAACUCCGUG